UAGGGAAUCUUCGGCAAUGGGGGCAACCCUGACCGAGCAACGCCGCGUGAGUGAAGAAGGUUUUCGGAUCGUAAAGCUCUGUUGUAAGUCAAGAACGAGUGUGAGAGUGGAAAGUUCACACUGUGACGGUAGCUUACCAGAAAGGGACGGCUAACUACGUGCCAGCAGCCGCGGUAAUACGUAGGUCCCGAGCGUUGUCCGGAUUUAUUGGGCGUAAAGCGAGCGCAGGCGGUUUGAUAAGUCUGAAGUUAAAGGCUGUGGCUCAACCAUAGUUCGCUUUGGAAACUGUCAAACUUGAGUGCAGAAGGGGAGAGUGGAAUUCCAUGUGUAGCGGUGAAAUGCGUAGAUAUAUGGAGGAACACCGGUGGCGAAAGCGGCUCUCUGGUCUGUAACUGACGCUGAGGCUCGAAAGCGUGGGGAGCGAACAGGAUUAGAUACCCUGGUAGUCCACGCCGUAAACGAUGAGUGCUAGGUGUUGGAUCCUUUCCGGGAUUCAGUGCCGCAGCUAACGCAUUAAGCACUCCGCCUGGGGAGUACGACCGCGAGGUUG
Molecule: ribosomal RNA, 550 nt
Filed under: uncultured bacterium
Lineage: Bacteria
Description: bacterial SSU rRNA
Rfam family: Bacterial small subunit ribosomal RNA
Source: RNAcentral